UACGUAGGGGGCAAGCGUUAUCCGGAAUUACUGGGUGUAAAGGGUGAGUAGGCGGAAUAAUAAGUCAUAUGUGAAAGGUUACGGCUCAACCGUAAAAAUGCAUAAGAAACUAUUAAUCUAGAGUGCAGGAGAGGUAAGCGGAAUUCCUAGUGUAGCGGUGAAAUGCGUAGAUAUUAGGAGGAACACCAGUGGCGAAGGCGGCUUACUGGACUGAAACUGACGCUGAAUCACGAAAGCGUGGGGAGCAAACAGG
RNAcentral lists this ribosomal RNA (253 nucleotides) under uncultured bacterium. RNAcentral describes it as "partial 16S ribosomal RNA". It matches the Rfam family "Bacterial small subunit ribosomal RNA", at positions 524 to 776 of the family's 1533-position model. The record is from RNAcentral.